ACCACUAUUAUUGUGUGCCAUCAUCUAUCCUGAGUUCUUGCACAAUCACACAAAUAUGUCAAAUAUUUGAUCCUUCCAGUCACGCUCCUCUAUUACUAUCGAUCAUAGAAAGUUUAACUAAACGCUGUAAGGUUGGGGCUUCGGCAUGUCCUUCACUAAACCACAUAGCAAAGCGUUGUCAGGCAUGUUGUAUUCAUCCCUCAGAGAGCGCGCUGGAGAAAGAACACUCAUAUAAAGCUGUUGUCCCAGGUAGGUCCUCUCCCACAAUUCAGACCUUAGGUUCCACAUUCCAGCGUUGUCAAAUGUCAAGAAGAUUGCUGCCCACGAUUUAGGAAAUACCUGCACUGUGGUCCUGCUAACUGCGUCGAGAAGAUUGUAGUGAUUCCUCUUCUCGGGAGUCCAUGUGCCAGGCUCCACAGCGACUGUAAAGAAGGAAUACCCAUCCAAGUGCCAUGAUUGCAUGCUCUUCUCAGGAUUCUCAAAGAUGAUUUCCACAAAGUUUCGGAAAGUCAUGUUAAGGACGUUGGGCUGUGUCACAAUCUCGCCUGUUUUGGCAGGUGGGUGGUCAGGAAUGGUGUCGUACUUAAAAACCUUUUCUGCGAUCCCGUAAUACUCGGCUAGUUUGAGUGGGGUCUCUGGAUUAGUGUGAGAAACACCGUUGAUUGCAUAACGAAGCUUCCCUCCUGCCCCGCUGGCUGAGUUAACGAGUUUGAUAGUACGGGUGAUGUUGAUGGAUCCAUAAUGGUAGGAGCCCUGAGGAUUUGGCCUGGCAGCACUGGCUGUGAGAUUCCAGCGGAAGGAACGAAAUUGAUUGAGAGACCAAGCCC
This 827-nucleotide unclassified non-coding RNA is filed under the name Hevea brasiliensis (rubber tree). Lineage: Eukaryota; Viridiplantae; Streptophyta; Magnoliopsida; Malpighiales; Euphorbiaceae. The record is from RNAcentral.